Molecule: non-coding RNA, 2601 nt
Organism: Tetranychus urticae (two-spotted spider mite)
Lineage: Eukaryota; Metazoa; Arthropoda; Arachnida; Trombidiformes; Tetranychidae
Source: RefSeq, a predicted model, not a curated record
UUUAUUUAGUUUAUAUCAUCAUCGUUUGAUCAUUAAAUUGGUUGAAUUGUUAAUAGGAAUUUUAUCAAUCAAAAGUAUUUCUUUCCUAUUGCAAUAUAAUAUUCAUUGAAACUGUAAUGUAAAUAUUGUAAAUAUCAUAUUGAUCUUUAGCUUGCUAUACUGAGCUACAUUACAAUUGUAAUGGAUACAAGUUUCGGUAAAGAGUCAAUUGUCAUUCUAUACCGCACUUAGGAUUCACAAUGUUCAUUUAUAUUAUAAUUACUGUUUACCAAUUUAUAGCUGAAUAAAGGACCAACCAUCUUCACUUUGUUAUCCUCACCAUUUGAUCACCAUCAUGAUGAAUAUUAAUAAAUUGUAGAUGGCGAAAAAGAAACUCGGAAAACGCAAGUUAAUUACAAUUCUGGACCAGAUAAUAAGAUUUCCAGUUGCCAUUAAAAAGUGAAUCUAUUAUCCAGCCAAGAGAUAUAAAAAGAUGGACCAUUCGUUUCAAUCAACAGGGAUAAUCAGAAAGUCACCCACCAAUGGUGUGGUUGUCAUUGCGACUUCAAAUGGUUUCAAAGCCUACCAACGAUCAAUGAUUUAAACCAAUUGAUACAUCAUAUUGAACGAGAAACAAAUAUUGGAAAAGGUCAAGAAGGUUCAGGUGAACCAAAAAAGAUGAUGAACCUGAUUGGAUCAAUGAAUGGCCACCUGAUGCUUUUCCCAUGAGACUACAUAUAAGAUGAACAGGUUAACUUGGCUGUUAUGGACGUAUGUUUAUCUUUAUUGGAUUUCACUGCUUACAAGAACACAAAUCUGGCAAUCGUUUCCGUUUCCAGGGUGUUAAUGAGUUUCAUCGUUUUUUUACCGGAUUCCCAUUGUUUUGCUUCAAUCUCUGUUAUCAAUCAAACUGACCUGCAAGGUUAUCCUUGGAUUAACAUAGCACAAGAUUGAGUAAACCUUGAACCGGUCAUCCGUAAUGUGUUUUGUUGCUGUUAACAUGAUCAAGAUUAACUCAAGUGUGGUGAUAAAGAUGUAAAGUCACACGAUGUUGGUAGCCUUUUAGAAGCUGAUGUUGUUUUGUUAAUCAUCAAAUAAAACAAUAAACGAUGUUUUUUGGUAACAAUUGAUUAAAUCAAUUGAAGGAAAGAAGCAUUAAAGAUGAGGAAUGAGAGAAAAAUAGAUUCCUUUCCUGUUAUCAUUUCAAUCUUGGCCAUCUUCAGAAGGAAAACAGCCGUUUGUCUUUACCAAGAAGUAGCCAUCAACGAUAAUAAUCUUACAUCGAGUUAAACCAAUUCGUGAGGAGAUUUAGGUGUUUAUCAAAUCCAAUUCAUUCACAGAAUCAAAAUUGAAAUGAAAUUGCUGAUGAAGGGCAGAAAUGUGAACCAUUCAAAAGUGUAUUUUUAACCAGAUGCUCAAAAGUGGAGUAAAAUGGGUUUGGUGUUUUCAUUUUUACCUCAGGCCUUUUGAUCAGUUUAUUAACUGUUAGUUAACUACCCAAGGUUACAAUUUGUGUCGUGAUACUUUUCCUACCAAACUAUUCAAUACUGAUUAUAUUGAUCAAGCAAAAGCUGAAUUGGCUGGAGACGAUCAUCAUUAAUUAAUUUCAGUCAAUUAAUGGAUGGCAAAGGAAAAAGCAAGCAAAAAAAGAAACUAUUCGGACAUUAAACCUUUCUCCUUAAAAUAAUCAAUAACCAGUCAUUAUCCAGAUUUUACUUUUAAUUUAAAAAAUAUCAAUCCAACAACAAUUAGAGACUAAUUAAAAUGGAACCCAAAAUAGAACCACUUUGUCAUGGAAAAGACAAAUUGAUUAAAAAUAUCACCAGCUAUUGAUCGAGGCCACCAAAUCUAUCAUCGAUUUAAAUGGUUAACCCAAUUUAUUUCAUUGGAUAUUGAAACUGUUAUUAGCAAGUAAAUGGAAAAACUUGAUUACAAUCAAAAUUGCUCUCAAUUGUCAAUCGAGAUGGACAAAUGUUGAAACUGAUAAAUCCUGGAAAUCAAUUGAAGAUCUUUCCCAAACUCUUUCAUGGUAAAGCUUCAAACAAAGCCGAAUGGCAAUAAUUUUCUUAAUCAUAUUUAACAAUUUCACCUCAACAAUUUAUCAUCAUUAACGACUGCCAAAGAAAUGGUUCAACUUAAAAAUGGUUGAUCCUUUAUCAUCCCACAUUAAUGGUCUUCUGGUUAUAAAAUUUCAUUCAUUUGUUAGUCUAAAUUGUUUCAAUCUUUAAAAUUGUCAUCAACUGUUCAAUCUAAUCUCUCAAACAUAAUAGUCAAUUACAUCAUGUUUAUAAUCAUUAUUUCCUCCCUCAAUUGCAGUUUGGACAUUUCGAAGAUCUAAAUAAGGCUAAAGAUGAUUACAAGAUUUCCGUUUCAUGUGGGCUUUCAUGUGAUCCCAAUAGGCUAUCAAAAAGUGCCACAACCCGCUGGGUGCGUUUAGGAGACUAAAGCAACCAGUAAAAAAACAAAAACAGAACCGGAAGAUUUGAACAUUUGAUUGCAACAAUUUUAAUCGGUGAAAUCUGUUCAAGAUAAAAAUUGUUAAUAAAAAAUGUUGAUUGCUUGUUUAUUGCUUUUCAUUUUGCAUUCCAAGUAAUCAAACUGAUCAACACAUUUGACCUUAAA